Apodemus sylvaticus (European woodmouse) is the source of this 1920-nucleotide long non-coding RNA. RefSeq lists it as uncharacterized. The transcript is spliced from 4 exons. NCBI's taxonomy places the organism in Eukaryota, Metazoa, Chordata, Mammalia, Rodentia, Muridae. The record is from RefSeq and is a predicted model, not a curated record.
ACGUCCCUCCAUGGCCUCUGCAUCAGCUCCUGCUUCCUGGCCUGCUUGAGUUCCAGUCCUGACUUCCUUUUGUGAUGAACAACAAUGUGGAAGUCUUGACUGGAUCUAGAACCCACCUAGGAGACUCUCCUCCGAGAAGGUCUGUGAAGGAUUACUCAGAGAGUUUAACUAAGGGGAGAGGACGAAGUCUCAAUGUGAGUGGGACCAUCGCGUGGGCUGGGGCCCAAGGCUGCACACAAAGGAGAGAACAUGCUGGAGCACCAACCGUCUACCUCCUGACCAGACGCCUCAAGAUUCUGAAGCUGUAAUGUUGCCCCGGUGAUGGACUGUGCCUCCCUACUCGAUCCCUGCACCUGCACGUCGAGAGUCAUGAGGUAUCACGUCUGAGGCUCUGCAUGGGAAUCUCCUCUCCUCACUGUUCCCUUGUUGCUCCCAGCCUCCUGUCUGUCUGCUGUCCCAUUAUUCUUGUUCCUUUCUAUCUUUGGAUUGUUUGUAUGGUCGGUGCCUUCUUCAUCUUAGCUGGUUUCACUCCCCCCCUCCCUCCCUCCCUCCUUUCCUCCUUCCUUCCUUCCUUCCUUCCUUCCUUCCUUCCUUCCUUCCUUCCUUCCUUCCCUUUCCUUCCCCAGUGCUGGAAGCCACCAGCCUCAGUGGUACCAAUAUUUCAGAAGUAUGUGGUUCAGUGGGAAGGGGUGGGGUGGAUAUGGAUUCCCAGUGACUCCAUCCAUCCCUCUCUCCUGGAGCCAGCGCUGGUGUUUAUGAAGUGAAGAUGAUCGUGUAAGGAUGCUGGGGACCCAUGUCACAGAAAGAACUGACUCCUGCAAUUGUCUCCUGACCUCCACAUGCGAUCUGUGGCAUCCAUGCAGCCAUCCCACCCCAGACAUAAAAUGGAUUAAAGUGGAAAAUUCUGGUUUCUUUGGAAAGUUAUGUCAAAUGGCGUCUUGCUGGGGCACACGAGUGAAAGGGAUACCUUGCUAAAGCAUACAUGUUAAAGAAUGUUUUCCUGAAGCAGACACAGGUGAAAGAAUGUUUUGAUAUCGCAAACACGUGAAAGAACACUUGGUGCAGGAGUAGAAACAGGACCCCACAGACAGCUGGAGAGGAGCUCUGAGCUUUGGUUUGGCUUUUUCUCCACCUCGCUAUUCCUCAGUAAAGAUGAGCAUGUAUUGGUUCACCUUACACAGUGUAGUUGAUCUCCAGUUGUGGUGACGCCAGAGGGAAACUCACCGAGAACCGCUGGGAAUGUUCCCGAGCCAGCUUGCCUCAACUGUGGCCUUGCCUCAAGCUGGUUGGCAAGCCUGGUGGUUUUGUCAGGAUUGAACUAUGGCUGCUGGUUCGUGCCUGGUGUUUGCCUGCAGAAAGAACUGUUCUGUAGCUACCAGUUCAUGCGUGGUCGUCUGCCUGCCUAGAGGACUGGUCUGCAGCUGCUGAGUCGUAUUUGGUGUUUGCUACAGGACUGAACUGCUGCAAAAAAUCGAGCUCACCCCCCCCCCCAAAGAACUAUUGCUGAAGAGGUUCACUUCCCCCAUAGCCUAAUAACUUUUUCUCUUCCACUACCUCUGCUGGGUGGUGAGCCAGAGGUGAGGUUGAACCCUUAUUAAAAGUAGGUUGUGAAAAAUUUAUGUCUACGAUGGAUUUCUAAAAAAAUGUAGUAGCCAUCGAAGUAACUUGAUACUGAAGAAGCGUGAGGAAUGGAUUGAGAAGUUCUUCCUUCUUGGGGAUUCUGGGAACUCCACACCCUGACUUCUCCAUCCUACACCCCAAACAAUCUCAUCCGAGAAGCACGCUUUAGAACAGUCUCCUCAUCCUGGAAGCAACGAGAGAAACAUGAGCCUAAUAUCUUCGAUUAGUCAGAAGAGCCGCAGCUCCAGGCUGCGCGUGCUCUGCCCCACGGGAGGCUGGAGUAUUAAUGGCCACAGAUCU